ACUUUAUAGUCACCUAACCAAGAUACAAAGCACGUGUUGCAGUGGAGAAUGCAGGAGAGCUCACUGGUUCCUGUCUAUAUUGUUCAUCUAAACCUGCAGCCUGCACCUUGCUGCUGAUCUUCCCAGAAAAGGAUGGUUCCAGGAAGAACACAGACCUCUACUCAGCAUGAAGGACCUAGGAGGACGGACGGAGGAAGGCUUUGAGGCAGGGCAAGGUGAAGAGCCCUUAUCUCAGUAUUGUGAAGCAGAGAACAGCCUUCCAGAAUGCUUCACUUUCCCAUAGAAGGUACUGGAUCCUCCGCCAAACACCAGGAGGUGAUCAGAAUCCACUCAAUAGCACCCCACCCCGUCCUCUUUCUUCUUCAUUGGAUUCAUUUGUGUCAAUAUUUUACUUUGGAGAGUAGAGAAAAUACCAGCACCUACAAGCAAGCCAGCCAAAACAACAGCAUAGCCGGGAACAGAAUUUGAGUCUUCUUGGACAAUAUAUACUUAAGGAAAACUUCUUUGUGCUUCAGUUGUCUAACUUGGCUCUUCUUACUCCACCUAAAAUAUAUUAAAUUUUGACCUUCCAAA
Molecule: long non-coding RNA, 573 nt
Organism: Mesocricetus auratus (golden hamster)
Lineage: Eukaryota; Metazoa; Chordata; Mammalia; Rodentia; Cricetidae
Exons: 3
Source: RefSeq, a predicted model, not a curated record